RNAcentral lists this ribosomal RNA (253 nucleotides) under uncultured bacterium. RNAcentral describes it as "partial 16S ribosomal RNA". It matches the Rfam family "Bacterial small subunit ribosomal RNA", at positions 524 to 776 of the family's 1533-position model. The record is from RNAcentral.
UACGUAGGGUGCGAGCGUUGUCCGGAAUCAUUGGGCGUAAAGAGCGUGUAGGCGGUCCGGUAAGUCCGUUGUGAAAGUCAAGGGCUCAACCCUUGAAUGCCGGCGGAUACUGUCGGGCUAGAGUCCGGAAGAGGCAAGUGGAAUUCCCGGUGUAGCGGUGAAAUGCGCAGAUAUCGGGAGGAACACCUAUGGCGAAGGCAGCUUGCUGGGACGGUACUGACGCCGAGACGCGAAAGCGUGGGGAGCAAACAGG